Molecule: non-coding RNA, 105 nt
Organism: Caerostris darwini
Lineage: Eukaryota; Metazoa; Arthropoda; Arachnida; Araneae; Araneidae
Source: the annotation of a GenBank genome assembly
AACGGCCAUGCCAUGCUGAAUAUACCGGUUCUCGUUAGAUCACCGAAGUCAAGCAUCAUGGGCGCGGUCAGUACGGGUGGUGCUGCAGGAACACCGCGUGCCGUU